CAUUGAAUGGCUGAAAAAAAGUGAUGGUCUCUUAAACCAAUUUAUAGUUUAAUUUAACUUUCAAUGA
Molecule: transfer RNA, 67 nt
Filed under: Rhipicephalus sanguineus (brown dog tick)
Lineage: Eukaryota; Metazoa; Arthropoda; Arachnida; Ixodida; Ixodidae
Description: tRNA-Lys
Source: RNAcentral